AUGAACGCUGGCGGCGUGCCUAAUACAUGCAAGUCGAGCGAACAGACGAGGAGCUUGCUCCUCUGACGUUAGCGGCGGACGGGUGAGUAACACGUGGAUAACCUACCUAUAAGACUGGGAUAACUUCGGGAAACCGGAGCUAAUACCGGAUAAUAUAUUGAACCGCAUGGUUCAAUAGUGAAAGACGGUUUUGCUGUCACUUAUAGAUGGAUCCGCGCCGCAUUAGCUAGUCGGUAAGGUAACGGCUUACCAAGGCAACGAUGCGUAGCCGACCUGAGAGGGUGAUCGGCCACACUGGAACUGAGACACGGUCCAGACUCCUACGGGAGGCAGCAGUAGGGAAUCUUCCGCAAUGGGCGAAAGCCUGACGGAGCAACGCCGCGUGAGUGAUGAAGGUCUUCGGAUCGUAAAACUCUGUUAUUAGGGAAGAACAAAUGUGUAAGUAACUAUGCACGUCUUGACGGUACCUAACCAGAAAGCCACGGCUAACUACGUG
Molecule: ribosomal RNA, 496 nt
Filed under: uncultured bacterium
Lineage: Bacteria
Description: partial 16S ribosomal RNA
Rfam family: Bacterial small subunit ribosomal RNA
Source: RNAcentral